This 98-nucleotide ribosomal RNA is filed under the name Canavalia boliviana. RNAcentral describes it as "partial 18S rRNA ribosomal". It matches the Rfam family "Eukaryotic small subunit ribosomal RNA", at positions 1734 to 1831 of the family's 1831-position model. The record is from RNAcentral. RNAcentral also lists the same sequence under 8 other names. Lineage: Eukaryota; Viridiplantae; Streptophyta; Magnoliopsida; Fabales; Fabaceae.
UGCCCGCGACGUUGUGAGAAGUCCACUGAACCUUAUCAUUUAGAGGAAGGAGAAGUCGUAACAAGGUUUCCGUAGGUGAACCUGCGGAAGGAUCAUUG